RNAcentral lists this long non-coding RNA (234 nucleotides) under Sorghum bicolor (sorghum). Its description in RNAcentral is "long non-coding RNA (SBIC_LNC009144)". The record is from RNAcentral. Lineage: Eukaryota; Viridiplantae; Streptophyta; Magnoliopsida; Poales; Poaceae.
CUUCACCACGCGUGUUUUACUUGUUUCAUUAUGUGCGCACAAGUUGGAAAUGAACUGUACUGCUGCUGCCUCUCGAGAAGAGAGUGCUUCCAUAUCUUGUUGGUUAUAAUCCAUCCCCACUAAAAAUAAUAACAAUAAGCAUAUUGGGUUUACCAAUAGUUGCAAAAUUUAACUAAGAUAUGACAAACAAUUUUUCAAUUCACCAUUUCUCUUUUUCAUACUUCCUAGGUCAGA